UGAGGAAUAUUGCGCAAUGGGGGCAACCCUGACGCAGCAACGCCGCGUGAGUGAGGAAGGUUUUCGGACCGUAAAGCUCUGUCGAGCGGGAAGAAAUGCAUGGUGGCUAAUAUCCAUCAUGCUUGACGGUACCGCUAAAGGAAGCACCGGCUAACUCCGUGCCAGCAGCCGCGGUAAUACGGGGGGUGCGAGCGUUGUUCGGAAUUAUUGGGCGUAAAGAGCGUGUAGGCGGCCGAAUAAGUCAGAUGUGAAAUCCCUGGGCUUAACCCAGGACGUGCAUUUGAAACUAUUCGGCUAGAGUAGGGGAGAGGAAAGUGGAAUUCCUGGUGUAGAGGUGAAAUUCGUAGAUAUCAGGAGGAACACCGGUGGCGAAGGCGACUUUCUGGCCCUAUACUGACGCUGAGACGCGAGAGCGUGGGUAGCAAACAGG
This 430-nucleotide ribosomal RNA is filed under the name uncultured bacterium. RNAcentral describes it as "bacterial SSU rRNA". It matches the Rfam family "Bacterial small subunit ribosomal RNA", at positions 355 to 776 of the family's 1533-position model. The record is from RNAcentral.